This is a long non-coding RNA of Capsicum annuum, 6810 nucleotides long. RefSeq lists it as uncharacterized. Lineage: Eukaryota; Viridiplantae; Streptophyta; Magnoliopsida; Solanales; Solanaceae. The transcript has 7 exons. The record is from RefSeq and is a predicted model, not a curated record.
AUUUUAUUUUAUUGCUCUUGAAUAAGUUUCUUUAAGAAUUUCUUUCAUCUUGUCUUAAGGCAUUUAAAAUAGUCGAUCAUAAAAAUGAAAUAGGAGUAACAUUGCAUUGGGUCCAUUUCAUCCUUGUCAUACCCGAUCCCCCCCAUGCCACCUCUCUCUCACUCUCUCUUAAUUUUAACUUUAUGUGUUGUUAAUUUAUUUAUUUUUUACAUUAAAUUUACUACCAAGUUAAGGUGACAGAUAUAUUACUAACAAGUUUUGCAUGAUUUUUAGUUUAUCCUUACUUUGACUUAAGUUCAAUUUACAACAAAUGGGUACAAUUGCUGGGUUUAGUUUAACCCCUGCAAAAUUAUAUUAAAUGUGGGGGUUGAAAAUGUGCCACUAAAAAUUAUAUAAUUUGCGGGGGUUUUAACCCCUGCUAUACAUCAAAAAAUACCACUAAAAAUUAUAUAAUUAGUGGAGGUUUUAACCCCCGCUAUACAUUCAAAAGAAUACCGCUAAAAUAUUAUAUAAUUUGCGGGGGGUUUAACCCCCGCUAUACAAAAAAAAAACUAUGAACUGCUAUGAUAUUUACCUCUUUUUACCCCAAAAAACAUUUCUACCUCUUAUUUUUCCCCAAUUAGAGAGAGGUGCCCCGACCAUUGCUGCACAGUAAGAGGUCUUCGGUCGGCCAUUUCCUUUCUAGCUCUGAUUGAUCCUUAGCCAUUCCUACACACUCUAGCUCCGAUAUUGAAAGAUUCUGUGACUCGUACAACUCCGGCUCCGGCACCGACUUCCUCGCCUUUUAUCUCUCUGUAAGCAACAAUUAAUGCAUAUUUUUGUUCAUUAUUACUUGUACUUGAAGUUGUGAACUUGUAGUUACUUGCAUUUGAAGUUGUAAACUUAUAGUUUUUUGGAGACUAUUUGAACAUUGGUGAUUUUAUGAAUAUUGCAUUUUUUUAUCUUGAUUUUAUGUCUAUUUUGUUCAUUAUUAGGUGCAUUUGAAGUUGUCAACUUGUACUUCUUUUUUUCUCUGGAGAUUGUUUGAAUACAUUGGGGAUUUUUAUGUCUAUUUUUUUCAUUAUUAAGUGCAUUUGAAGUUGCAGACUUGUAGUUCUUUAUCAGUAGCUUCAUCUUUUUAUGUGUUAUUAGACUUAAGAAUUUAUGUGUCCUGUAACACAUUGCUAGUUUUAAUCCUUACAUAUUUUGAUUUGAUUACCAUAGCGAGAGCAAAUAUUAACCGAUCGUUACCUGUUUUUCACGCAUAAGUUGAUAGAAUGAUACAAUUGUUACUAAAUAGAAAAUGAAAAGAUAGAAAAUAGAAUACAUUCCCUUUCUAUGGGAUUGUACUAGCUUAUGAUUUUUUAUCUACAGACGACAAAAGCAACAUUUCUUUUUAUGUUGUAUGAUGAAAAAAUCGACGGUCUCCUCAUUUCAUAUGAAUUGAGUGAUUUAGAAAUGUUGAACUGGUCUUUUAUUCGCGUUAGUGUUUCUAUGUGUGACAAAAACUAUUCAGAAAGACAGUUUUUGCUUAUUCAAAAUAGUUUUUUGUGCUUAAUAUAACUAUUCUAUCGAUCUUGUCAUUAUGUAGUUAUAGUCUUAAUAACUGCUAACCACCUCGCUGGAGGAUGAGACAUCCAAUAAAGGAAGUCGACAAAAGUUUUUUAUUACAAAGAUGACCGAAUUAAUCACUUAUCUGAUGUGUUUGGCUGCAACACUUGAGAAAUCCUUCAUAUUACUCUCUUUUAACAAGAACACAAAGUUGGCCUGUCCACUAGUUAAGGCAUUACUUAAAGUAGGACUUUCACUUUGGGGACAAUGACCAUGUAUACCAAUAUUUCCAUUCUUGAACUUAGUAAAUAAUAUCUGUAUAUCAUAACAUUACCCUAGUUGUAUUGCCUCAUUUGACAUUGUUAUUUACUCUGUUAUUCAAUCACUAGGUUUUGAAUUGUGUGGUAUUAGUCUGGGGAUUUUUAAAUUACCAAAUAAAUAGAUGUGCAGGUUCUACUUUUAAGGGAGAAGAUUUUCCAUCAUUAUUAAUUGAUUAUGGUCGUUGAAUUUGUUUUCUAUGUUUGUAAAGUUAGUUGAGUUGUGGAAAAAUUAACCCAGACAUCAUAAUUAUAUGUUAGAGUAAUUUUUCAUAAGAUAUUUUGUUAUGUAUGUUCUUUGUUAGAGUUCAUUAAUUUAUUUAUUUUCUAUUGCAUUUACUUUUCUUCUUUAUGAAAUCUUAUAGGUAAUGUUUAGCAUAUUCAUCAAAUUCUUUAAUGGAUAGAUCUUCGACUGGAAUGCAAAGAAGCACACCAGAGUAUUUGCCUGGCUUGAAUUAGUUUCUAGAUUUUGCAUUUACCAAUGGAGCUAUAUGAGAGAAAAUAAAGUGCCCAUGUCCUAUAUGUGGUUUUAAAAAGUGGCAAACAAAAAAAGUGGUGUUUCACCAUUUGAUGAAUAAGGAUUUCCCUAAAAAUUACGUCACUUGGGUUGUACAUGGGGAAAUAAACGUUUUGCCUAAUUCCAGAAACAUAGAGGUUUUUGACAAUCCUAUUGAAUUAUUGAUUAAUGAAGCAUUGGGGGUUUAAGGCAUGAGGCUAUUGAUGUAUGCCCGUCACAAGUAGUGGGAGAAGAAGAAACUUUACAUGAUUUGUCUGGUUCAAAUAACAAAGAUUAUUUUAAAUUUCUUAAAGAUGGGAGUGAAGAUUUGUAUGAAGGAUCAAAGUACUCAAAGUUGGAAUAUUUGUUAAAGCUUUAUCACAUAAAGUGUUUGUAUGGAUUAAGUGAUAAGGGAAUGACUAUGCUGCUAGAUCUACUUAGGGAUGCAUUUAAACUUACAAAGAUCCAUAUAUCUUUUUAUGAGGCUAAGAAAAUCAUCAACAAGUUGUGUCUUGAUUAUAUCAAGAUAGAUGCUUGCCCAAAUGAUUGUAUAUUGUACUGGGAAGAUGAUGUUAAUGCAAAAUCAUGUAAGUAUUGUCACAAUUCUAGAUGGAAGCUCGAGAAGGAUAGCAAUUUUGAUCAUGCUCCUAGUACAAGUAAGAAACAAAAGAAGAAGCAAAAAAAGCUUGCAAAAGCUUACAAAGAUUGUUUAUGUGCUCUAAAACUGCAGAGCAUAUGAGAUGGUAUGCAGAGGAUGAUAAUAAAGAUGGAAUCUUAAGGCACCCUCGAGAUGGUGAAGCAUGGAAAAGGCUUGAUAGUAAUUAUCCUAAAUUUGCUUCUGAUCCUUUAAAUGUUCGAUUAGGACUAGCUAGUGAUGGUUUCAAUCCUUUUGGAUCGAUGAGUACUAACUACAAUAUUUGGCCAGAGGUUUUGUUUCCAUACAAUCUUCUUCCUUGGUUUUGUAUGAAGCAAUCAAAUUUUAUCCUCUCAAUGAUCAUUCCAGGUCCACGUACAGUAGGGAAUAACAUAGAUGUAUAUCUACAACCACUUAUUAAGGAGUUGAAUGAGUUGUGGAGUGCAGGUGUAGAUACUUUUUAUUCAUCAAAGAAUGAAAUGUUCAAAAUGUAAGCAACUCUUUUGUGGACAAUUAGUGAUAUUCUGGACUUGAUAUCUUAUCUGGUUGGAACAUGCAUACUGGUCUUGCAUAUCCUUCUUGUAAUUUAGAUGCAAAAACUUAUCGACUUCGUCAUAGUAGAAAGUGGUAUUUUAUUAGCCACCAUAGAUUCUUCGAAAGAAAUCAUAAAUUUAGAUUGAUGAGACAUCAUUUUGAUGGAAAUAUGGAAGAGUGAACCCUUCAAAAAAGUUAUCUGGGUCAAAAAUUUUCCAACGGGUGAAAGGUAUCAAUGUCACAUUUGGAAGACAAUCAUAGUUGCAGAAUAGAAAAAGGAAAAAGAAUGUUGGGGAAGAUGCAACUCAACAAUGGAAGAAGAAAAGUAUAUUCUUUGAUCUUCUAUUUUAGGAGUUUAAUCUAUUGCCCCAUAAUUUAGAUCCGAUGAAUAUUGAAAAGAAUGUGUUUGGCAAUGUUAUAUACACAUUGUUAGAUGAUAAAGAAAAGUCAAAAGAUCAUGUUAAGGCCCGAAGAGAUCUACAAGAUAUGGGCAUAAGGCGUGAUCUUUGGGUCAAUGAGAAUAAUGAGUGUAAACUUGUUGCAUUUGCAAUUCCAAAGAACAAGAAAGUGGCCUUUCUCAAGACUUUAAAGAAUAUCUCAGUGCCGGAUGGUUAUUCAAGUAAUAUAUCUCAUCGUAUUGAUUUGGAUCAAAAAAAAUUUUAGAUUAAAAAGCCAUUAUUAUCAUAUUCUUAUGCAAAAGUUGUUACCCAUAGCAAUUCAUAAUGUGCUUCCAAGAUAGGUUGUUGUAACUUUGGUUGAGUUUUCUUCCCUUUUCAGGCAACUUUGUUUGAAAAGUUUAAGUCUUGUAGACUUAGACAAGCUACAAAAUCAAAUUGUGGAAACUCUUUGCCAUUUAGAGAUUUUAUUUCUCCAUCAUUUUUUACUAUAAUGAUUCAUCUAACUGUUCAUUUAGUUAAUGAGGUAAAAAAAAGUGGCCUGGUACAUUAUCGUUGAAUGUAUUCAGUUGAAAGGUAAGAUAUUCGUUAUUCAAAAUCAUUUUAGUUUAUUUUGCAGUAGUAUUUCAACAUAAAUGCUUCAUCUUACACAUUAAUAUUUUUGGGUAUAGAUUGUUGGGCCAUUUCAAGUCCCUUGCAGGGAACAAAUCACAAGCAGAAGGUUCCAUAGUUGAAGAAUCUCUUACUCUUUAUUCUUAUUAUUUUGAGGAAAUUGAGUCAAGGUUAAAUCGACCUAAAUGUGUAAAUAAUAAACCAAGACAAAAUGAGGCUUCUGAAAAGUCAAGUAUGUUCCCUCAACAAGGUAAGCAUGUUGGAGGCUUUAUAACAAAAUCGCUGGCUCAUUUGGAGAAAACACUAGAUCAUCGAUAUGUGUUACUUAAUUGUGCAGCUGUGAAGCCAUUUAUUGAGUAAGAAAAUCUACAUUGAUUUGAUUUGUAAGAUAUGUUUUGAGAAAUUAGAUUAAAAUUGCUAAUUAUAAUGCCUUUAUAGUGAAUUUAGAGAUUACAUCAAAAGAAGUACAAGAGGCAAAGAGUUUCAGCAACAGAGGUAAAGAGAAGAGUUAGUAAAGAGUUCACUGAUUGGUUUCCUAAGCGAGUGAAUGAAUGAUAUUAGAAUGUUUUUUUCAUAUAACUUUCUUAUUUCAAUUUAUAAUUUCUAAUAUAAGUGUUUUAUAUGUUUUGAUUAUGAAUCCAAAUAUAGCAGAUACUAUCUCUGAUAAGAUGAAGUUGUUAGCACAAGGUCCAACCCAAAAUGCAAGAAAAUUCAAUGCUUAUAAUAUUAAUGGAUUCAAAUUCCUAACUUUGUCUAGAGAACAAGGAUUAAAAACUCAAAAUAGUGGAGUUUUUCUUGUCUCUAACACUUCUUGUGUUGCAUCUAGUGCAGAUAGACAUGCAACAUAAGUAGACUUGCCAUAUUAUGUAAAGUUGGAAGAUAUUAUUGAGCUUAAUUAUUAUGGCUAAUUUAGGGUUGUUUUUUUAAAUGCUAGUGGGUUGAUACUACCCAGAAUAGAGGGUUUAAAAUAAAUACUUGGAAGUUUAAUUUUGACAACUUUUUCAAAUUGAUUCAUACCAAUGAUCGUGUGGAUGAUGACGCAUAUAUUGAAGCAUCACAAGCAAAUAUGGUCUACUAUAUUGAUGAUAAAAAUGAUAAAGAAUGAAGUUUGGCUGUACAUCUAAAUCCAAGAGAUUUGCUUGACAUGGGAGAGGUUGAUGAAGAGGAAAUAUAUGAGACUGAGCCAUACCAACAACAAGAAUUUGGACUAUUUUUUAUGUUGAUUACGAGAAUGUCCAAAUUACAAUAGAGGUGUAUAUGACUAAAUAGAUAUAUCAUUUUUUUCUAGUUUUCUUUGGCACUUUAUUUUUCUCGCUUGAUUAGUGUUUUUUUUCAAGACUUUCUAUUUUUUGGCUAUGAAAGUUAUCAUUGUUCUUUAUAUAAUUCUUGAUCUUUCUCAUUUAUAACUAGAGAAUAGUUGUAGUCACUUGUGGGGAGUAGUGUGUGUAUCUUCCUGGUAUGUUAGGUGGUUUCUUAUCUCAAGGCAAAAAACUGAAGGACAAGAACUGACUGGGGGUCUUGGUUGUACUGUUCACAGAAACUUCUUUGGGAGCCAGGGCAAAAAGCUGGAGGACAGGAACUGAUUGGGGGUCUUGAUUGUACUAUUCAUAAAAACUUCUUUGGGAUCCAGAUAUGCCAAGGUUCAAGCAGUUGUAGAAAAAGCAAAAACUAGGUUCGUCGGUGUCUACAUCAUAAGAUUUUCGAGACUGGACAAUGGCCUGUACGAGCACAAAUGUACGUUGCUACUUAUAAGAAUCAAGAUGGAGUAUAUUUCAAUAAAGCGACAAAAGAAAUAUGUGAAAAAAUUGAGUUAGCUUUGAGCCAAAGCGCCAUAGAUGAGUCUUAAGUUUUGCCAAAUGAUGUCAUUAGUAAGGUGCUAGGGCCAAAGCACUCUAGAAGGGUGAGAUUCUUGGGAUUAUGAGUUGUUCCUAGUAGAGUUUUUAAACAAGAUGGACCUCAUUUUGGUGGUAUAAGUGCUUCGAGUAGUGGAGGUUCUUGUUCAUUCCAAUGUUGAGAAAACUUUGCUCAAAUGAUGAAUUCUCACAAUCAGAUAAUGACUGCUUUGAAGGCAUAUAUGAUAAUGAAAGAAGGAAUGAUACCGAAACAAUUUGAGGGCCUCUUUGACUCUCCUUCAAUGGUUUCUACCACAACACCAAGUGAUGCGGCUAGUGGACCCAUUUCGCCCAUGGAUACAAGGAGGUCACGUAAUGAUAAUGAUCCUAAUGACAUUCUUUGAUUUCAUUGCAUUUGUCUUGGAUAUUCAAUUAUGAUGAUGUAAUUGUAUGGUUGGAG